This 901-nucleotide non-coding RNA is filed under the name Bolitoglossa n. sp. RLM-2004. Lineage: Eukaryota; Metazoa; Chordata; Amphibia; Caudata; Plethodontidae. The record is from RNAcentral.
AUAGAUUUGGUCCUAAUCUUUUUAUUAAUUAUAACUAUAAUUAUACAUGCAAGUUUCACCACCCCAGUGAGUAAGCCCCACAUCCCCGCUUAGUGAUGAAGGAGCUGGUAUCAGGCAUACACACCCAAAACACCACGCUUAGCCACACCUACACAGGAACUCAGCAGUAAUUAACAUUAAACCAUAAGUGAAAACUUGAUUUAGUAAUAGUAUUUAAAGUUGGUAAAUCUCGUGCCAGCCACCGCGGUUACACGAAAGACUUAAAUUAAUAUAUGCGGCCCAAAGGACAGUUUAAGGUUUUAUAGGAACUUAAGAGCCUUUAAGGCCGUUAUACGUUUAAAAGGUCAAAAACACAAAUCACCCCACCAACUUGAAUCUGUUAAAGCCGGGGGACACACUGGGAUUAGAUACCCCACUAUGCCCGACUAUAAACUUCGGCCCACCGCCCGCCAGAGCACUACGAGCUACAGCUUAAAACUCAAAGGACUUGACGGUACCUUAUACCCACCUAGAGGAGCCUGUUCUGUAAUUGAUAACCCCCAAUAAACCUCACCGCCUCUUGUAAAUUUUAGUCUAUAUACCACCGUCGCAAGCCCGCCUUAAAGAGAAUAAUAGCGGGCCUAAUAAUUUUAAAUUAAAAAGUCAGGUCAAGGUGUAACAAAUGAGUCGGAAAGAAAUGGGCUACAUUUUCUUCAAAGAAAAAUACGAAAUAUCAUAUGAAAUAUGCUACGAAGGAGGAUUUAGAAGUAAAUAGAAAGUAGAGUGUUCUUUUAAAACCGGCAAUAAGGUGAGCACACACCGCCCGUCACCCUCUUAAGUAUUAAUAGAUUAACAUAUAAUAAUCACACCUUAAAUAGAGGAAAGUCGUAACAUGGUAAGUCUACCGGAAGGUGGCCUUGGA